This 86-nucleotide transfer RNA is filed under the name Rhodotorula toruloides. RNAcentral's name for it is "tRNA-Pro". It matches the Rfam family "tRNA". Rfam says of the family: Transfer RNA (tRNA) molecules are approximately 80 nucleotides in length. Their secondary structure includes four short double-helical elements and three loops (D, anti-codon, and T loops). Further hydrogen bonds mediate the characteristic L-shaped molecular structure. tRNAs have two regions of fundamental functional importance: the anti-codon, which is responsible for specific mRNA codon recognition, and the 3' end, to which the tRNAs corresponding amino acid is attached (by aminoacyl-tRNA synthetases). tRNAs cope with the degeneracy of the genetic code in two manners: having more than one tRNA (with a specific anti-codon) for a particular amino acid; and 'wobble' base-pairing, i.e. permitting non-standard base-pairing at the 3rd anti-codon position. Lineage: Eukaryota; Fungi; Basidiomycota; Microbotryomycetes; Sporidiobolales; Sporidiobolaceae. The record is from RNAcentral.
GGUCUGAUGGUCUAGAGGCAUGAUUCUCUCUUAGGGUUAUUCGCCUUAAAUGGGAGAGGUCCCGGGUUCAAUCCCCGGUCAGACCC